GACGAACGCUGGCGGCGUGCCUAAUACAUGCAAGUUGAGCGCUGAAGGUUGGUACUUGUACCAACUGGAUGAGCAGCGAACGGGUGAGUAACGCGUGGGGAAUCUGCCUUUGAGCGGGGGACAACAUUUGGAAACGAAUGCUAAUACCGCAUAAAAACUUUAAACACAAGUUUUAAGUUUGAAAGAUGCAAUUGCAUCACUCAAAGAUGAUCCCGCGUUGUAUUAGCUAGUUGGUGAGGUAAAGGCUCACCAAGGCGAUGAUACAUAGCCGACCUGAGAGGGUGAUCGGCCACAUUGGGAAUGAGAAACGGCCCAAACUCCUACGGGAGGCAGCAGUAGGGAAUCUUCGGCAAUGGACGAAAGUCUGACCGAGGAACGCCGCGUGAGUGAAGAAGGGUGUCGGAUCGUAAAACUCUGUUGGUAGAGAAGAACGUUGGUGAGAGUGGAAAGCUCAUCAAGUGACGGUAACUACCCAGAAAGGGACGGCUAACUACGUG
RNAcentral lists this ribosomal RNA (497 nucleotides) under uncultured bacterium. RNAcentral describes it as "partial 16S ribosomal RNA". It matches the Rfam family "Bacterial small subunit ribosomal RNA", at positions 28 to 507 of the family's 1533-position model. The record is from RNAcentral.